UUAGUUUUAAUAUUAUUUUAUUUAUUUUUUAUUUUUUUAUUUAAUAAGAAUAAUUUAUUUUUUAGUAAUAUUUUAUGAAUCAAUUUUGAUUUAUUAUAGUUUAUUUGUACUGUGAAGGAUUUAUUUUUUUUGUUUAUAAGUAUAUUUUUAUAGUACCUUUUGUAUCAGGGUUUAUUAAAAUUUAUUUAAUUAUAUUAAGUUUCCCGAAAGUAAAAGAUAUAAAGUUUUAUAAUUUUUUAUGUUUUAUAAUAAUUUUUAAUAUUACUUUAGGAAUUAUAUGUUAUUCAUUUUUAUAUAUCUGGUUCUUUAAUAAAUUAAUUUAAUUUAGGAUAUUUAUGGUUUAUUUAUAUUUUUAUUUUAUUUAAAUUUAAAUAUCAAAGAUUGUUAGGGAUAAGCUUGACAUUUAUUUCUAUAAUAUUAUUUUAUUUAAAUUUUGUAGGUUUAAUAACAUCCAUCUUUAAUUUCGUUAUAGUUUAAUUUAUUUUAAAUUUUAUUUUGUUAAUAUUUAGUUUAUUAUUAAAGUUAAGUAUUUAAUUUUUUAUUAUUUGUAUUAAUGAUAGAAUUAGUAGAUUAUUAAUUUAAGUUUAGUAACUCGGCAAUUAUUACUCUCGCCUGUUUAACAAAAACAUGUCUUAUUGAUAAUAAUUUUAAGUCUAGCCUGCUCAAUGAAUUUUAUUUUAAUAGCCAUAGUAUUUUAACUAUGCAAAGGUAGCAUAAUCAUUUGUCUUUUAAUUGAAGGCUUGUAUGAAGGGUUUGACGAAGGGUAAACUUUCUUAAUUUAAAUUUAAUUAAAUUUAACUUCUGGGUAAAAAGGCUCAGAUACAGUUUUGGGACGAGAAGACCCUAUAGAAUUUUAUUAUUAUUUAUUAUUUUUAUUAUAUUAUUAAUAGGAGUUAUUUUGUAAUAAUUUUGUUGGGGUGACAGUGGAACUUUUUUAACUUCUAUUAUUUAUAUUUCAUUAAUUAGUGUUUUAUUGAUCCUUUAUUAUGGAUUAUAAGAUUAAAUUACCUUAGGGAUAACAGCGUAAUUUUUUUGGAGAGUUCUUAUCGAUGAAAUAGUUUGCGACCUCGAUGUUGGAUUAAAGUUAAUUAUUAGUGCAGAAAUUAAUAAAUUAGGUCUGUUCGACCUUUAAAUCUUUACAUGAUCUGAGUUCAGACCGGCGUAAGCCAGGUUGGUUUCUAUCUAUAAUUUUUAUUAAAUAGUUUAGUACGAAAGGAUCCACUAUUUUUAAUAUUUAAUUUAUCUUUGAUUUAUAUUA
This 1258-nucleotide ribosomal RNA is filed under the name Physopelta quadriguttata. RNAcentral's name for it is "16S ribosomal RNA". The stretch from base 1015 to 1173 matches the Rfam family "Archaeal large subunit ribosomal RNA", at positions 2542 to 2701 of the family's 2987-position model. The record is from RNAcentral. Lineage: Eukaryota; Metazoa; Arthropoda; Insecta; Hemiptera; Largidae.